GAUGAACGCUGGCGGCGUGCCUAACACAUGCAAGUCGAGCGAACCCUUCGGGGUGAGCGGCGGACGGGUGAGUAACGCGUGGGUAACCUGCCCUGUACACACGGAUAACAUACCGAAAGGUAUGCUAAUACGGGAUAAAGUAUGAGAGUCGCAUGGCUUUUAUAUCAAAGCUCCGGCGGUACAGGAUGGACCCGCGUCUGAUUAGCUAGUUGGUAAGGUAACGGCUUACCAAGGCAACGAUCAGUAGCCGACCUGAGAGGGUGAUCGGCCACAUUGGAACUGAGACACGGUCCAAACUCCUACGGGAGGCAGCAGUGGGGAAUAUUGCACAAUGGGCGAAAGCCUGAUGCAGCAACGCCGCGUGAGCGAUGAAGGCCUUCGGGUCGUAAAGCUCUGUCCUCAAGGAAGAUAAUGACGGUACUUGAGGAGGAAGCCCCGGCUAACUACGUGCCAGCAGCCGCGGUAAUACGUAGGGGGCUAGCGUUAUCCGGAAUUACUGGGCGUAAAGGGUGCGUAGGCGGUCUUUCAAGCCAGAAGUGAAAGGCUACGGCUCAACCGUAGUAAGCUUUUGGAACUGUAGGACUUGAGUGCAGGAGAGGAGAGUGGAAUUCCUAGUGUAGCGGUGAAAUGCGUAGAUAUUAGGAGGAACACCAGUAGCGAAGGCGGCUCUCUGGACUGUAACUGACGCUGAGGCACGAAAGCGUGGGGAGCAAACAGGAUUAGAUACCCUGGUAGUCCACGCCGUAAACGAUGAGUACUAGGUGUCGGGGGUUACCCCCCUCGGUGCCGCAGCUAACGCAUUAAGUACUCCGCCUGGGAAGUACGCUCGCAAGAGUGAAACUCAAAGGAAUUGACGGGGACCCGCACAAGUAGCGGAGCAUGUGGUUUAAUUCGAAGCAACGCGAAGAACCUUACCUAAGCUUGACAUCCCAUUGACCUCUCCCUAAUCGGAGAUUUCCCUUCGGGGACAGUGGUGACAGGUGGUGCAUGGUUGUCGUCAGCUCGUGUCGUGAGAUGUUGGGUUAAGUCCCGCAACGAGCGCAACCCUUGCCUUUAGUUGCCAGCAUUAAGUUGGGCACUCUAGAGGGACUGCCGAGGAUAACUCGGAGGAAGGUGGGGAUGACGUCAAAUCAUCAUGCCCCUUAUGCUUAGGGCUACACACGUGCUACAAUGGGUGGUACAGAGGGUUGCCAAGCCGUGAGGUGGAGCUAAUCCCUUAAAGCCAUUCUCAGUUCGGAUUGUAGGCUGAAACUCGCCUACAUGAAGCUGGAGUUACUAGUAAUCGCAGAUCAGAAUGCUGCGGUGAAUGCGUUCCCGGGUCU
RNAcentral lists this ribosomal RNA (1322 nucleotides) under uncultured bacterium. RNAcentral describes it as "partial 16S ribosomal RNA". It matches the Rfam family "Bacterial small subunit ribosomal RNA", at positions 28 to 1381 of the family's 1533-position model. The record is from RNAcentral.